RNAcentral lists this ribosomal RNA (117 nucleotides) under Cucumis melo (muskmelon). The record is from RNAcentral. Lineage: Eukaryota; Viridiplantae; Streptophyta; Magnoliopsida; Cucurbitales; Cucurbitaceae.
AAGUGCAAUUAUACCAACACUAAUAUACUAGUUUUCAUUAAAAUUCUGCAGCUAAGUAUAUUUGGAUGAAAGUAGUACUAAGUUGAGUGAUCAUUUGGAAAAUCCAUAUUCCACAUA